RNAcentral lists this ribosomal RNA (426 nucleotides) under uncultured bacterium. RNAcentral's name for it is "bacterial SSU rRNA". It matches the Rfam family "Bacterial small subunit ribosomal RNA", at positions 355 to 774 of the family's 1533-position model. The record is from RNAcentral.
UCGAGAAUUUUUCACAAUGGGCGAAAGCCUGAUGGAGCGACGCCGCGUGGGGGAUGAAUGGCUUCGGCCCGUAAACCCCUGUCAUUCGCGAUCAAACCUGGCUAUUUAAAAGAUGGCCAGCUGAUAGUAGCGGAAGAGGAAGGGACGGCUAACUCUGUGCCAGCAGCCGCGGUAAUACAGAGGUCCCAAGCGUUGUUCGGAUUCACUGGGCGUAAAGGGUGCGUAGGUGGUGAGGCAAGUCGGAUGUGAAAGCUCGGAGCUCAACUCCGAAAUGGCAUUGGAAACUGCCUUGCUCGAGGGUCGGAGGGGGGACUGGAAUUCUCGGUGUAGCAGUGAAAUGCGUAGAUAUCGAGAGGAACACCAGUGGCGAAGGCGAGUCCCUGGACGACUCCUGACACUGAGGCACGAAAGCUAGGGGAGCAAACA